RNAcentral lists this ribosomal RNA (464 nucleotides) under uncultured Veillonellaceae bacterium. RNAcentral describes it as "partial 16S ribosomal RNA". Lineage: Bacteria; Bacillati; Bacillota; Negativicutes; Veillonellales; Veillonellaceae. The record is from RNAcentral.
GACUACUGGGGUAUCUAAUCCCGUUCGCUCCCCUGGCUUUCGCGCCUCAGUGUCAGACAUCGUCCAGAAAGCCGCCUUCGCCACUGGUGUUCCUCCCCAUAUCUACGCAUUUCACCGCUACACGGGGAAUUCCGCUUUCCUCUCCGAUACUCAAGAAUCCCAGUUUCCAUCCCAUCACGGAGUUAAGCUCCGAACUUUCAGAACAGACUUAAGAUCCCACCUGCGCGCGCUUUACGCCCAAUAAUUCCGGACAACGCUCGCCACCUACGUAUUACCGCGGCUGCUGGCACGUAGUUAGCCGUGGCUUCCUUCUCAGGUACCGUCAAUUCACGCCCAUUUCCUGACGUGACCGUUCGUCCCUGAUGACAGAGCUUUACGACCCAAGGGCCUUCAUCACUCACGCGGCGUCGCUCCGUCAGACUUUCGUCCAUUGCGGAAGAUUCCCCACUGCUGCCGCCCGUAGG